Molecule: long non-coding RNA, 473 nt
Filed under: Bos taurus (domestic cattle)
Lineage: Eukaryota; Metazoa; Chordata; Mammalia; Artiodactyla; Bovidae
Description: long non-coding RNA NONBTAT024355
Source: RNAcentral
CAUCAGCCCCGGCCUCAGAGAGUCCCAGAGUAACCUACUACCUCCCCAUCGCUCCCGCUAUCCUGGUCACACCCGCCACCCCGUCUGCACGCAGAUGAGACCUGCCCCCGAGCCCAGCAGUGAGGCUGUUACCAAUGUUUACAAUUAGGGGCACCUCCUCUGAGGCGUGUUUACUCCCCCACUCCCAAGGCCACUUGCUGGUCUGAGUUUCAUGUCCGUCUGCCCCUUCCCUGGUUGAGGCCGACUUGAACACACAACCCUGAUCUUACGUCCCGACCCUCCAUCCGUCAAGGCCAUGGUGAGGACUGUGUGGGAAGGAUAUUCCUUGUACAUACUCAGCACAGCCCCUAGAGUUUGGACUUGUACUAUUGUUCUGUAAAGAGGGUGAAAUAGAGCUUAUUGUAAAGCGUUGGGAGAAGUAUAGUAUUGUAUUUGUAACAAUAUGGUUCUUUGUAUACACAAAACUCAAUCUC